RNAcentral lists this ribosomal RNA (1372 nucleotides) under uncultured bacterium. RNAcentral describes it as "bacterial SSU rRNA". It matches the Rfam family "Bacterial small subunit ribosomal RNA", at positions 28 to 1381 of the family's 1533-position model. The record is from RNAcentral.
GAUGAACGCUGGCGGCGUGCCUAAUACAUGCAAGUCGAGCGAACGGACGAGAGGCUUGCUUCUCUGAUGUUAGCGGCGGACGGGUGAGUAACACGUGGAUAACCUACCUAUAAGACUGGGAUAACUUCGGGAAACCGGAGCUAAUACCGGAUAAUAUUUUGAACCGCAUGGUUCAAAAGUGAAAGACGGUCUUGCUGUCACUUAUAGAUGGAUCCGCGCUGCAUUAGCUAGUUGGUAAGGUAACGGCUUACCAAGGCAACGAUGCAUAGCCGACCUGAGAGGGUGAUCGGCCACACUGGAACUGAGACACGGUCCAGACUCCUACGGGAGGCAGCAGUAGGGAAUCUUCCGCAAUGGGCGAAAGCCUGACGGAGCAACGCCGCGUGAGUGAUGAAGGUCUUCGGAUCGUAAAACUCUGUUAUUAGGGAAGAACAUAUGUGUAAGUAACUGUGCACAUCUUGACGGUACCUAAUCAGAAAGCCACGGCUAACUACGUGCCAGCAGCCGCGGUAAUACGUAGGUGGCAAGCGUUAUCCGGAAUUAUUGGGCGUAAAGCGCGCGUAGGCGGUUUUUUAAGUCUGAUGUGAAAGCCCACGGCUCAACCGUGGAGGGUCAUUGGAAACUGGAAAACUUGAGUGCAGAAGAGGAAAGUGGAAUUCCAUGUGUAGCGGUGAAAUGCGCAGAGAUAUGGAGGAACACCAGUGGCGAAGGCGACUUUCUGGUCUGUAACUGACGCUGAUGUGCGAAAGCGUGGGGAUCAAACAGGAUUAGAUACCCUGGUAGUCCACGCCGUAAACGAUGAGUGCUAAGUGUUAGGGGGUUUCCGCCCCUUAGUGCUGCAGCUAACGCAUUAAGCACUCCGCCUGGGGAGUACGACCGCAAGGUUGAAACUCAAAGGAAUUGACGGGGACCCGCACAAGCGGUGGAGCAUGUGGUUUAAUUCGAAGCAACGCGAAGAACCUUACCAAAUCUUGACAUCCUUUGACAACUCUAGAGAUAGAGCUUUCCCCUUCGGGGGACAAAGUGACAGGUGGUGCAUGGUUGUCGUCAGCUCGUGUCGUGAGAUGUUGGGUUAAGUCCCGCAACGAGCGCAACCCUUAAGCUUAGUUGCCAUCAUUAAGUUGGGCACUCUAAGUUGACUGCCGGUGACAAACCGGAGGAAGGUGGGGAUGACGUCAAAUCAUCAUGCCCCUUAUGAUUUGGGCUACACACGUGCUACAAUGGACAAUACAAAGGGCAGCGAAACCGUGAGGUCAAGCAAAUCCCAUAAAGUUGUUCUCAGUUCGGAUUGUAGUCUGCAACUCGACUACAUGAAGCUGGAAUCGCUAGUAAUCGUAGAUCAGCAUGCUACGGUGAAUACGUUCCCGGGUCU